This 197-nucleotide ribosomal RNA is filed under the name uncultured bacterium. RNAcentral's name for it is "partial 16S ribosomal RNA". It matches the Rfam family "Bacterial small subunit ribosomal RNA", at positions 328 to 539 of the family's 1533-position model. The record is from RNAcentral.
ACGCUCGACACCUACGGAGGCAGCAGUGGGGAAUAUUGCACAAUGGGGGAAACCCUGAUGCAGCGACGCCGCGUGAGCGAAGAAGUAUUUCGGUAUGUAAAGCUCUAUCAGCAGGGAAGAAGAAAGACGGUACCUGACUAAGAAGCCCCGGCUAACUACGUGCCACAGCCGCGGUAAUCUGAGCGGGCUGGCAAGGC